UACGUAGGUGGCAAGCGUUGUUCGGAAUUAUUGGGCGUAAAGGGCGCGUAGGCGGUUUGUUAAGUCGGUCGUGAAAGCCCGGGGCUCAACCCCGGAGGGUCGACCGAUACUGGCAGACUAGAGUACAGAAGAGGUAACUGGAAUUCCCGGUGUAGCGGUGAAAUGCGUAGAUAUCAGGAGGAACACCAAUGGCGAAGGCAGCUCGCUGGGACGGUACUGACGCUGAGGCGCGAAAGCGUGGGGAGCAAACAGG
Molecule: ribosomal RNA, 253 nt
Filed under: uncultured bacterium
Lineage: Bacteria
Description: partial 16S ribosomal RNA
Rfam family: Bacterial small subunit ribosomal RNA
Source: RNAcentral